UUUUUAUAAAAGUAUGGCAUAUAUCAAUAUAAGUCCAGGAAUCACAUUUUCUCAAUGCACAAACUAUCAUACAUAACAAAAGAAACCAAUAUGAUUAAUUACACUACCUCAGUGUCAUCACAUCGUCAAAUACAAGUAAAUGUUCCACUGUGUACUUGGACCAUGCAUGUUAUGAUUAAUGAAUGCAAUGCAUUUGUAAUAUUAUAUUAUGUAUGCAAUGCAUCAUUCACCCAUACAAUUGUUUCAUAAAUUCAGUAAUACAUUACAAUUAGAGGAUAUCUUAAUUGUAAAUCAAUUCUGAAAACUUUAGCUAGUUGUUUGUUUAAAUUGUGAAUCUCUACUUUAAAUUCCACAUUCAAAUAAGGAAGAAUGGACCAGGCUCGACCAUCGGCAACCUGAUCAAAGACAACAUGAUCAGACAAAUAUGAUCAAAGGAUGCUUGGAUCAUACGCAGCAUUAUCAGAGGCAUAUUCUGAUCAGAGUCAGUAUGAUCAAAGGAUGCUUGGAUUAGAGGCGGCAUGACCGGAGGCAAAUUUUGAUAAGAGGAUGCUUGGAUCAGAGAUAGCUUGAUCAGAGGUAGCAUGAUCAGAGCAUGCUUGGAUUAGAGGCAACAUAAUCAGAGGCAGGUUCUGACAGAGGAAGCAUGAUUAUGGAAUGCUUGGAUCAACGACGACAUGAUCAGAGGUAGAUUCUAAUCAGAGACAAACAAAAGAAAAACAACAAAGGCACACAAGAAAAACAAUAGAGGCACACAAAAACAAUGGAGCAAAUAGAAGAGAAACAACAGAGGCAAGGAAGAGGAAAAUCAGAGACAUAUGUACUAGCCUUGGGUGUGGAUCUAUACAUCUAAACUAUGAUUCAUUCAUCAUAAUUUCAUGGAUUCUAAUUCACUAUCAACACACUCAUCGCGAUUAAAAACAAACAACAUGGAUGACUUUUAAAUAAAACCUUGAGUGCAGAAUUCCCAAAAUUCCUAUAUGCUUAAAAGAUACAUUCCCUCUCAUUUUCAUAUUUACAUUAAACCCCAUUAAACCCAAAAAAUAAUUUUAUUAUUAAUGGAGAUUUUUAAUUGAAUUAACCUAAGAAUCCUCAUGCUAAAUGAAUUUUAAUUUAAAAGAACUCACUGCUUCUAAGAGUUAUCCUUUGAAAUUUGAACUGAUUAGAGAAAAAGUUGGCUCCAGUAGUUCUUGGUUCUCCUUAAAAUCAUGUCUCUGUUCUAGGCUUGGAAAUCCCUCUUUCUUGUUCGUCAUUUCACUGUGUCACUGCUCUUGGUUGAUUCUCGAAUAUUGAGGGGGUAGGAUCGUGCAUGUAAUGCUUUUGGACAUGUCUGAGGGACUUAGGUGAGCCUUUACUUUUUGGAAGACUUUGAAGAUAAGGGGAAAAUAGAGAAUUGGAAGGGAUGAUGAACAAUGUUGUUUUGGGUGUUCUUCCGUCUUCAACUACAUGAAAUUAGGGAAAUGAAGAAAAAUGCUUACUCC
This 1478-nucleotide long non-coding RNA is filed under the name Cicer arietinum (chickpea). RNAcentral's name for it is "long non-coding RNA (CARI_LNC001508)". Lineage: Eukaryota; Viridiplantae; Streptophyta; Magnoliopsida; Fabales; Fabaceae. The record is from RNAcentral.